AGUGAACGCUGGCGGUAGGCCUAACACAUGCAAGUCGAACGGCAGCACAGUAGGAGCUUGCUCUUACGGGUGGCGAGUGGCGGACGGGUGAGGAAUACAUCGGAAUCUACUUUUUCGUGGGGGAUAACGUAGGGAAACUUACGCUAAUACCGCAUACGACCUACGGGUGAAAGCAGGGGAUCUUCGGCCCUCGCGCGAUUGAAUGAGCCGAUGUCGGAUUAGCUAGUUGGCGGGGUAAAGGCCCACCAAGGCGACGAUCCGUAGCUGGUCUGAGAGGAUGAUCAGCCACACUGGAACUGAGACACGGUCCAGACUCCUACGGGAGGCAGCAGUGGGGAAUAUUGGACAAUGGGCGCAAGCCUGAUCCAGCCAUACCGCGUGGGUGAAGAAGGUCUUCGGGUUGUAAAGCCCUUUUGUUGGGGAAGAAAAGCAGUAGGUUAAUACCCCGCUGUUCUGACGGUACCCAAAGAAUAAGCACCGGCUAACUUCGUG
This 492-nucleotide ribosomal RNA is filed under the name uncultured bacterium. RNAcentral describes it as "partial 16S ribosomal RNA". It matches the Rfam family "Bacterial small subunit ribosomal RNA", at positions 29 to 507 of the family's 1533-position model. The record is from RNAcentral.